GAUGAACGCUGGCGGCGUGCCUAAUACAUGCAAGUCGAGCGAACAGACGAGGAGCUUGCUCCUCUGACGUUAGCGGCGGACGGGUGAGUAACACGUGGAUAACCUACCUAUAAGACUGGGAUAACUUCGGGAAACCGGAGCUAAUACCGGAUAAUAUAUUGAACCGCAUGGUUCAAUAGUGAAAGACGGUUUUGCUGUCACUUAUAGAUGGAUCCGCGCCGCAUUAGCUAGUUGGUAAGGUAACGGCUUACCAAGGCAACGAUGCGUAGCCGACCUGAGAGGGUGAUCGGCCACACUGGAACUGAGACACGGUCCAGACUCCGACGGGAGGCAGCAGUAGGGAAGCUUCCGCAAUGGGCGAAAGCGUGACGGAGAAACGCCGCGUGAGUGAUGAAGGUCUUCGGAUCGUAAAACUCUGUUAUUAGGGAAGAACAAAUGUGUAAGUAACUAUGCACGUCUUGACGGUACCUAAUCAGAAAGCCACGGCUAACUACGUG
Molecule: ribosomal RNA, 497 nt
Filed under: uncultured bacterium
Lineage: Bacteria
Description: partial 16S ribosomal RNA
Rfam family: Bacterial small subunit ribosomal RNA
Source: RNAcentral